Molecule: ribosomal RNA, 115 nt
Filed under: Danio rerio (zebrafish)
Lineage: Eukaryota; Metazoa; Chordata; Actinopteri; Cypriniformes; Danionidae
Source: RNAcentral
CAUAACAGCUAGCUCUUUGCAACUCUCACAUGGUCGCUCACUGAAGCUAUGCAGGGCUGCGCCUGGUCAGUACCUGGAUGAGAAACCAAAUGGGAAAGCUAGGUUGCUGCCGGAA